CAAACGACUCUCGGCAACGGAUAUCUUGGCUCACGCAUCGAUGAAGAACGUAGCAAAAUGCGAUACUUGGUGUGAAUUGCAGAAUCCCGUGAACCAUCGAGUUUUUGAACGCAAGUUGCGCCCGAAGCCAUUCGGCCGAGGGCACGCCUGCCUGGGCGUCACGC
RNAcentral lists this ribosomal RNA (164 nucleotides) under Stephanomeria lactucina. RNAcentral's name for it is "5.8S ribosomal RNA". It matches the Rfam family "5.8S ribosomal RNA". From Rfam's summary of the family: 5.8S ribosomal RNA (5.8S rRNA) is a component of the large subunit of the eukaryotic ribosome. It is transcribed by RNA polymerase I as part of the 45S precursor that also contains 18S and 28S rRNA. Lineage: Eukaryota; Viridiplantae; Streptophyta; Magnoliopsida; Asterales; Asteraceae. The record is from RNAcentral.